This 460-nucleotide ribosomal RNA is filed under the name uncultured bacterium. RNAcentral's name for it is "partial 16S ribosomal RNA". It matches the Rfam family "Bacterial small subunit ribosomal RNA", at positions 338 to 795 of the family's 1533-position model. The record is from RNAcentral.
CCUACGGGAGGCUGCAGUGAGGAAUAUUGGUCAAUGGACGAGAGCCUGAACCAGCCAAGUAGCGUGAAGGAUGACUGCCCUAUGGGUUGUAAACUUCUUUUAUAAGGGAAUAAAGUGAGGCACGUGUGCAUUUUUGCAUGUCCUUUAUGAAUAAGGCUCGGCUAACUCCGUGCAAGCAGCCGCGGUAAUACGGAGGAUCCGAGCGUUAUCCGGAUUUAUUGGGUUUAAAGGGAGCGUAGAUGGGUUGUUAAGUCAGUUGUGAAAGUUUGCGGCUCAACCGUAAAAUUGCAAUUGAUACUGGCAGUCUUGAGUACAGUUGAGGUAGGCGGAAUUCGUGGUGUAGCGGUGAAAUGCUUAGAUAUCACGAAGAACCCCGAUUGCGAAGGCAGCUUACUAAACUGUAACUGACAUUGAUGCUCGAAAGUGUGGGUAUCAAACAGGAUUAGAUACCCCAGUAGUC